Long non-coding RNA from Equus caballus (horse), 3498 nucleotides. NCBI's taxonomy places the organism in Eukaryota, Metazoa, Chordata, Mammalia, Perissodactyla, Equidae. The record is from Ensembl.
CCUCCACUUCCCCAGGCGGAAGUCUCAGCUUUCUGUCCUCCUGACCUGCUGUGCCUGAUCCUGCGUCCGUGCCUCCCUGCCUGCUCUGCUCCUGCCUGGCACACACUUUCCCUCCCUUGUUUCUCCUUGUCCUCUGCCUGUCUGGGGACUGCUCAAGUUCUGCCUUGUCUGAGGAGCCUGCCUGGCCAGUCCAGCUUGGAGAGCCCUCCGCCCCCCUGAGCUCCUGGCCUCCCUGCCGAGAUCACGCAGGCUGGGACUCGAUUUGGAAUGCCACCUUCCACAGGGUCAGCCUUUGCUCUUCAGCUCUCUUCAUUCUAAGGCCUCACAGGAAUUACCAGUACUCAAGACUGAACUCUCCCCCGUAGCUGAAGUGACCACUGUAUUCAAGACUCUUCUGCAACGUCUGAUUCUACUCAUAAUCUCUCUGCUUGCCUGGCACGGUGAAAGAGUGCAUCGGGGUUCCAUCGCCCUGCCCCUGCCCUCCCCUCCUCUCCCGCUGCCAGCCUGUGCAGACGUCACCUCUCGCCUGGAUUGCUGCAGUGGCCUCCUCAUGAGUUACCGGAGUGCUCCUCCUCACCACCAGGUGGAUCUGGUCGCCCCUGCACAAGGCCUACAGAAGAUUUCUCCACACCCAGAUCAAAGCCCCCAUCCUCCCCAGCCUGGCGUGCACCUGUGUGUGCCUCUGUUUCUCCCAUGCUGUGGUGGGACCCCAGCCUCAUCUAGUCUCUGCAGCUAAUUCUGGGGUCUGUGGGCACAUGUGGUACCCAUCAGGGAACCAGAGGGGAGGAACCAGCUUGGCCCCGCUCCAUCUGGCAGUCGCCCACUACGCCUUCUUCCUCACCUUCCUUUCCCUGCACAGGCAGCCCAGGGCCAGGGAGACAGGUCCUUGGCUAAAUGUUGACACCGAACGACAAAAUGCCAAGUGUCAGCUUCUCCUUUUUGCAAGCACCCCUAAUCUUGAGUUAUUUUCUUGGGAUCACCUCCCUAAAGAACCACCCAUAGCGAUGUUCCAGGAUGUAUUAAGCUGUAUGACCUUGGGCAACUUACUUAACCUCUCUUUGCCUCAAUUCCCUUAUCUGUAAAGCAGGGAUAAUAAGAGUACCUACAGAGAGUUUGGGGGAAGGAUUCAUAUCCUUGGACAACCUCAGUACCUAGUAUGUUGCCUUGAGCACAGAAGAACCUCUGUAAAUAUUGUUGAAUAAUUCAUUGAUUGGCACACAAAGGCAGGACGUAAUGGAACGAAGCACGUAGGAUGGAAUUGCAGACCUGUGUGGGGUUGGGUUGGUGGUGGAAGCUGCCUAUGUGCCUGAGAAGAGACUACAGAGGUCAUCGUUUAGUCUCCUGGCUAAAAUUCUUCUGCUUCUGGUUUCUGGGCCUGUUAUUCUAUUGGCUCUCAAGUGGAACAUUGAGCAGUGGGCUGCUGGGGACUCCUUAAACCCCAAGAAGGCUCCAGAGUUCCUGGAGCAGCAAUGGGCAGAGUGGGUGGGGAUCUGGGGACAGCUAUGCUUUCUUCUGGUGCAAAGACAAGGCCCAGGCUUAGGUGAGGGGGUUGAAACUGGUAUUCUUGGAAAGCUCCAAGCUAAAUGAGCUAGGAAUGUGAAUCGUAAGAAUAAUGUGUCUCCCUAAGAGCAUGCUGGGAAACAAGCCAAUCUGGGCAGCUCAUGCUUGUUGCCAUGCAUGCAAUUGAAUUUCCCCAGAAUGCUUCAGGAACUCUAGGAGAAAGACGCUGGGGCCCUUUGAUAUGGCAAUUUAGAUCAAGUUGCAGAGACUGAAGUGUAGGUCAGAGGGAGAAAUGUGGCCAAGAACUCACCAGCAGGAGCAAUGGAGGAGAAGGUGCUUCUUGUUGGGCCUGAGGGAGCCCUGGGUGCUCCGGCUGGGUCAGCUCUCCAUGGCCGAGGGACGUGCUGGUCUCAGGGCACACAGGAGGACUGGCAGGAAGGAGCCUGCCCAGCUGAUGCUUGGGAUUCAGAAAUCCUAUCCUUCUGUGAAACAGGAUCGUGCUUGCUGUCUGUCUCUGGAGGAAGCUGGAGAGAGAGGAUCCCAUCAGGGUUGGUGGGCAGAGGGCAAGGUGCAGGGCGCCAGGGGCAAACCGGGCAAAGUGAACUCAGGAAACGGUGACCUGCUACCUUCAUGGCUGACCACACACAGAUCAGAUACUGACCCAGAGGCUGAAUUAGGUGCUGACUCAGGGGACAUUUCCUAAAAGCUAGUGAUAACAUAUAGGCCCAGAGCGGGGCGGUGGUGGGCUUGUUUCUCCCCAUCAUUGCCCCCAGCUCACAGGAGACCUUGCCCAUAAAUGGGUGAUCAAGUCGGGCGUGGUUUUCCUGGGCUUCUCGGUGCCUGAUCCCCGGCACUGAGGUUCUUACUGUGGGGCCCCAGACUCCAUCUGGGUCUCCCCCACCUUCCUGGGACAAGGGCCAGGGUGGGGCACAGCUGGGGCUUGCUUCAGUCCCAUUGGACCUGGGGGACAGAACUGGGACCUGACCAACCAGGAAAGGGUCCUUUCACCAAUGUCAAUCAGACCCCUUCAAGCUCCCUGGGAGAACCCUGGCCUGGAGGAGAGAGGAGCCCUCACCCCACAGUGCCAUGCAGGGGAAUUGCCCCAGCUCUCUGCCCUCACCAUCCUGAGGGCCUCUAUGAGAGUAACAACAAGAAGGAGAGGCAGAGAGGCGGAAUAAGACUGCAAUCUGUUAGAAGACUUGGUGUUGAGUUUUAUAUUUACUCACUGGUCACCUUGAGCAUAUCCUUUAAUCUCUCUGAGAGAACACAGCACAGUGGUUCAGCAUACGGCCUCUGGAGCCGAUUGUCUGGGUUCAAAUCCAGGCUCAGCUACUAGCUGUGUGACCUUGGGCAAUUACCUAACCUCUCUGAGCUUCCAUUUCCUCAUCUAUAAAAUGGGGAUGAGAAUAAUAGUAUAUCUGUCACAGCGUUGCUGUGAGAUUUAACUGAAUUGAUACAUAUAAAACAUAUGAACAUAUAUACAUAAAACAUAUAUACACAUAAAACAAUGCCCGGGAUGGUGAAAUAGCCUAUGGAAGUAUGGCUUGCUCUCAGGGAUCCGUGGACACACAGUGCUUUACUCCACAAGAGGCUCUUCUGGUGGGUAUUUUGGGCCGUCUUGGGAUGAUGGGUCUUUUGCUGCUCCUCAUGGGGGCUGGCUCAUUUUCCUGUGUAUGGGGCAGCCUGAUGCUUUUUGGACCUCCAUCUCAGAGGGGAGUUGGUGCCCCACAGAGCCUGGUGACUGCCCUACCGAGUCCCUGAGUCACGGCCUGAGUUCUGGCUCAGGAAGUGUUUGUGGCCCACCGUGAGUGCCCUGACCCCACCAUAGCUCAGCUCCCUGGGACAGGCAACGGGGCCAACACAAAGGUCUUUCUCCUCCACCGCUGAUGAGUCGUCAGUAAAGGACGCCCUGCCGGCUCCCUCGGCCUUUCUCCUCCUUGUUGCUGCUUCCCCUCAGGGAUGCUCAGUUGGCCUUGUCUUGUGGGGAGUGGAUGGCAG